GAUGACGUUGAUAGGCUAUAGAUGUAAAGGUGGUAACAUCAAAGUCGAGUAGUACUAAUUGCCCGUAAGCUUUAUUUUU
This 79-nucleotide ribosomal RNA is filed under the name Arachidicoccus rhizosphaerae. RNAcentral describes it as "23S rRNA. Bacterial LSU". Lineage: Bacteria; Pseudomonadati; Bacteroidota; Chitinophagia; Chitinophagales; Chitinophagaceae. The record is from RNAcentral.